AAGUCGUAACAAGGUAUCCGUAGGUGAACCUGCGGAUGGAUCAUUGAUAAAUGGAUUUUCCAUAAAAUCCAAAAAAAUCCAAUUCACCCCUCUGUGAACUGUGUGACAGACUUUCUUGGGCGAUGUUCCAUUUUCAUGUGAUUUUGCUCGGAUUAAGAACAAAUUAUGUGGAAAAGGGACCUUUCGGUUGGGAGACGUUCUCAACCCUUUUUCUUUAUUGAUUGUCGGAUAGAUAAUCAAAGAAGAAUAAGAUGUGGGGAGCCUGCCCCGAAAGUGUUCGCCCAAGUGUUAUUUAUCAACCUGAAUUGUGCUGUAUCUUUUUGUCUGAAAAUUGAAUGAAAAUUAAUUAGCGAUAACUUCUAACAACGGAUCUCUCGGCUCUC
This 383-nucleotide unclassified non-coding RNA is filed under the name fungal sp. RNAcentral describes it as "partial internal transcribed spacer region". The stretch from base 1 to 46 matches the Rfam family "Eukaryotic small subunit ribosomal RNA", at positions 1786 to 1831 of the family's 1831-position model. The record is from RNAcentral. Lineage: Eukaryota; Fungi.